This 257-nucleotide unclassified non-coding RNA is filed under the name uncultured fungus. RNAcentral's name for it is "partial contains 5.8S ribosomal RNA, internal transcribed spacer 2, and large subunit ribosomal RNA". The stretch from base 1 to 52 matches the Rfam family "5.8S ribosomal RNA", at positions 103 to 154 of the family's 154-position model. Lineage: Eukaryota; Fungi. The record is from RNAcentral.
AACGCACAUUGCGCCCGCCAGUACUCUGGCGGGCAUGCCUGUCCGAGCGUCAUUUCAACCCUCGAGCCCGUCUCGGUGUUGGGGGCCCCACGGCCGCGAGGCCGCCCCCGAAAUGCAUUGGCGACCCCGCCGCGGCCUCCCCUGCGCAGUAGCUCCCAGAGAACCUCGCACCGGAAACGCGGAGGCGGUCACGCCGUAAAACAACUCUCCUCCUGGAAGUUGACCUCGGAUCAGGUAGCGAUACCCGCUGAACUUAA